Molecule: long non-coding RNA, 3350 nt
Filed under: Taeniopygia guttata (zebra finch)
Lineage: Eukaryota; Metazoa; Chordata; Aves; Passeriformes; Estrildidae
Description: lncRNA (ENSTGUG00000027379.1)
Source: RNAcentral
CGCCGGGCGCCGUUCGCAAGCGGCCGCCGGGCGCCGCGGGCCUCCUGGUUCGCGCCACCGGACAAACUUCGCCAAGUUUCGGCGGGAUACGGGGCGCUCCGCCUGCCGCGCGGCUCCCCCUUCUCCGGCAGCCGCCAGGCUAGGCUUUGCCCGGGACGGCUCCGCCGCCCUUUUAAGGAAAAGCCGGAACCAGGCUUCCCGAGUGCGAUGCACGCGUGGGGUCACAGCCCCUCCGGGAGCACCGCCGGACCCCCGCUGGACGCGCCCCAGGGUCCGGCGGACGGCUGGGACAUCGCGCGGGGGGAGUGAUGUCCGCUCGCCUCAGGGAUUCCUUUGUCACGCCGCCCGCUUCUGUCUCGUCCGGGUUCCUCUCCGCGGAGCCCGCUCCAUCUUCCGGCCAGCCUCGGGCCCCGCUCCAGCCGCUGGGCUUCGGACCUUCCUUGCUGCCGCACCGCACCUCCGCCCGCCGCCACCACCUGCGGCUGCUUCGCUGGCGGGAUGUUUGGAGAGAAUCCGAGCGCUGGCCUUCCACCGGAGGGUGGUUCCCGGCGCUUCCCCCGACGAUCGUAUGUGUCGGUUUGAUCGACUUUCCUUCGCACCGUGCCGGCGGGAUUGCGCCCGGAUUAAGUCAACUCAGGGGAAGGCAAGAGCAUGGUUCAUACAUUCCCGGCCGCAGUCAUGAACAGGGUGAGAAUCAGUAAUAUCUACUGGAGUGUGAUCGGGGCGGAGAGGGAGAGCGGGGAGGGACAAGCAGCAGCGACUCGCUGAUGCCACCACCAGCGGCACCCCCGGCUCCCGAAGGCUCUCGACCCCGCUCCCGCCAGCGCCCCUGGAGAGCAGAGUGGGCUCGGUUCCAGCGAGGCUCUUUCCCCGCUCUUCCCUGCCGUGCUGCUUCCUUCACGACCCACUCUCCCUGUGCCCCAAACCCGUGGGUACGAGAGCAGGGUGCAGUGUAGAGGAUGGCGAUGGGCCCGGUGUCGCGACAGACCCGGGUGAAGCACUCAAGGCGGGCACAUGGGUAAGCCCUGUCUGACAGCUCCUACACGGAUGAGUGCCCCCACCAGGACCCCUGCCCGUGGGGGGGCCAUUUCCGUGGCUCCUGCCGCGCCAAGGCUGCUGCUGCUCCGGGCUUCUGCUCUGGCUCUGCGCAAGUGGCAAAGCAGUGUGCAGGCUGAGCGGGCACCUGUGCCAUGGAAACCGCGUGGGGAAGGGCCGUGGGUGACGGCAUGGGGCCCGGAGAGGUUCCUAGGGUCAAUGGUCGCUGUCUGUCUCAGAACAGCACAAUCACCAACUCGCAGGUCCCCACAGAGUCGUGUAAAGGUAAACUAGUCUUAAAAAGAAGCACUUGGUUAAAUUCCAGCAGAGAAGAUGCCUCAUUGACUGUCUUCCAAAAAUGUCACCAUUUGCAAACUCAUUACGUUCAUCUGUGCAUGUUUCUGAUUACAUUCAGUCCACCAAAUAGUGAAAACGGUAACAGAAUUUAUUGGUCAUAAAUUAUUGUACAUGACUCUUUCACAGGCUGCAGUCUAUGAAUGGCUCAGUACUGGCUCAAGUCUAUUUUUCUAGUCACAGAUGAAAUACUUUAUUCGAAGGUCUCUUUUUCAAAGAGCUUUCCCCCUCCCCUCACCUAAGGUUUGCGGCAACCACUGACUACUAAAACAACCACCCGUGGUUAUUUCAGCGAUGCUGGUAGUUACAGGGGGUCUGCCGUUCCCUGGUAAUCUGCUUUCAAGACAGUUCCAAGUGAUGGGAACUCUUAUCAGUUCCGCUUGGAGCAAGGUUGGACUCGUGUUAGGAACGACCGGAGGGUCCCAGGUCUCCCCCGAUCUGAGGCAGCCGCGGCGCGGGGGAGGAGGCUGCUCUCCCCGCGGGGAUUUCCGCGGCCGCGGUGCGGAGCGGAGUGGCUGCCUACACAGCCCUCGCACACGCAGACACACACACAAACGCAGAGGCACAGACACUCUCUCGGAGAGCCUUCAAAUCCCCAAGCACAGAAAGGGAAGGCUUUAUCGGAGUUUAGUUACUUAUCUGGAUUUUUGUUAAACCGCUGCUGUGAUCUCCGCGUACUUGUGCGAGUGUGUUAAUUGUUCUGAUAAUGUGUUGUUAUCGAUACAAUAACAAUACAGUCGUGUAUAAUGUGAUUUACUUGCCUUUGACCUGUCAAUUCCUGACGCAUGCAAAUUCAAGGGCGCGAUCUUUCCUUCUGCUACCGGAGGGAGGUGGAGGGGAGGGGUGAUAGUGAGGGGGGAACAAAAACCCGAGCAGAUGCAUUAUCAUACGGAGGCUAAACAAGGCUUUCCAGAAUGCAGUGCUGUACUCCAUCAAGCAAGAUUAGAGCGCUUUAAAAAAUAUUAAAGGGGGGCUUACCAUAGCCGUGUAUUAAUUCUGCCAGCUUGCUUACAGUAAAUGUAACUACACCCCACUCCAAAUAUUGUCCGAUUUCUCAUAUUCUUACCAAACAUCUAAUCUCUCGUGUUUUUUAAACCCGAGUUUAAUGUGAGUUUCAAGGAAGCAAGUUCAUUUCCUCCUAAUUUUUAUUUGAGCCUAACAAUCAGGUAGGGAAUCAAAGAGAUAAAAAGAAGUUGAAGAACAGUGGUUAUCCCGAUAGCGAUCUCCGCCUCGCCGUGCCUCCCGACUGAAAAGCUGAUUCACGGACUCCGCAGCCCCAGCGCUCCCCUGCACUGGCAGAGGCACAUCGCGUUUUCACGGCUCCCCUUGUGCACUGAGCUGUUUCCAAACACCAACUUUGAAAGCUGACAUUUUUCUUCGUGUAGGGUAUCAGUCACCGAUUGCACGUCACUUUCAGCUGUCCGAAGUUGCUGGGCAGUCUGGAAUCUUAAGCACACCAACAGGUUGGCAGGCUGAUCCUUCUGCUUGUAUGGACCUUGGCAGGUUUGUGAGCGCUCCUAAGCCUUUUUCCUCUUAUGCGGUCCAGUACACCUGUAGAGAGAAAGGGAGUUUUACCCCGUGAACUCUUCAUUGUGCAUAAUGCGCUAAACUCAUUCGUUUGCUUUUACAGAGUGCUUCCAAAUGCUUGGUAUUAUUAUUUUUCAAUAACAUUCGCUUAUUAUUAGAGCAGCUGGUAGCCCAAGCUCUAGUGAAGUGUCUGGCAAAGGAUUCUAUCAUAAAACACUGGUUUCUAAGUUUAUAGUUUCUAAUUUGGCUGUGAAAAUGUGAUUCUGCAUUGAACUUGGCACUCAAAUGCUCAGCUGGAGAGUAAACUUUUUAUAAUAAAAACGUUGGUUCAUUUGGUUUGCUAUUUUAAGUUAUAAGAUAAUUAACAAAGUUUUUACUUGUUUGGGAAGCACAGAGAAGUCCUGUACUUUUUUGAAAAUUAAAUGUUAUUAUUU